AACGCAUAUUGCGCCCAUUAGUAUUCUAGUGGGCAUGCCUGUUCGAGCGUCAUUUCAACCCUCAAGCCCUAGUUGCUUGGUAUUGGGGCAUCUACGGAGUAUUGUAGGCCCUAAAAAUCAGUGGCGGGCUCGCUGUGGACCCGAGCGUAGUAAAUUUUUCUCGCUUAGGGGUGCAUAGGGGGCAUCUUGCCGUGAAACCCACUAAAUUUUAGAAGGUUGACCUCGGAUCAGGUAGGAAUACCCGCUGAACUUAA
RNAcentral lists this unclassified non-coding RNA (254 nucleotides) under uncultured fungus. RNAcentral's name for it is "partial contains 5.8S ribosomal RNA, internal transcribed spacer 2, and large subunit ribosomal RNA". The record is from RNAcentral. Lineage: Eukaryota; Fungi.